UGCCAGACUUGGUGGGGGAUACCUUUCAUC
Molecule: non-coding RNA, 30 nt
Filed under: Rattus norvegicus (Norway rat)
Lineage: Eukaryota; Metazoa; Chordata; Mammalia; Rodentia; Muridae
Source: RNAcentral